This 468-nucleotide ribosomal RNA is filed under the name uncultured bacterium. RNAcentral describes it as "partial 16S ribosomal RNA". It matches the Rfam family "Bacterial small subunit ribosomal RNA", at positions 28 to 507 of the family's 1533-position model. The record is from RNAcentral.
GACGAACGCUGGCGGCGUGCUUAACACAUGCAAGUCGAACGGAAAGGCCCUGCUUUUGUGCGGUGCUCGAGUGGCCAACGGGUGAGUAACACGUGAGUAACCUGCCCCUGACUUUGGGAUAACUUCAGGAAACUGGGGCUAAUACCGGAUAGGAGCUCCUGCUGCAUGGUGGGCGUUGGAUAGUUUCGGCGGUUGGGGAUGGACUCGCGGCUUAUCGGCUUGUUGGUGGGGUAGUGGCUUACCAAGGCUAUGAGGGGUAGCCGUGCUGAGAGGGUAAGCGGACAAGCUGCGAUUGAGAUACGGCCCAGACUAGAAUGGUACGCAGAGGAGCAGAAGGUAGUAUAGGAGGAGGAGGGAAGGUCCAGCCACGCAGCGCGGGGGGAGAGGGGAUUGGGGUUGUAAAGCAAUUUCGCCUUAGACGGGGUGUGAGUGACAGUAACGGGUGAAGAAGCACCGGCUAACUACGUG